UACUGAUGCUGCUGGAUCGGCAUUUCUCGCCUGGCUUUCGCUCCCCCUCCCCAUCCCACGACUCGGUCAGCUGAUAUAGCCUCCAAAGGCUCCGGAGGUACCUCUGUUCUUGCGUGACGGGAAGGAAACGACCCGAGCAGGCUGCAACAAAGAGAGAUGGGAGGGUGAUCCAGGCAGAAUGACGGAGGAUAUAUCCAAUUAAAAGCAGAAGCACCGGGGAAAACGCCUUUGCUGGAAGGCACAAGGAGGAAGCGGGUCAUUAGAACACGCGGCUGCACCUCUGAGUUGGAUUCAAGGUCAGAGGAGAGAAAGCAACUCUGGAACGUGUGAAAAAGGGAAUGGCCCAAGUAAUAAGGUGGGGCAAUGAGGAUGCAGAAUUCCCACCUCAGGCAUGUUGUUUACUCGAAAGUCUCACUGUGCUGAACGGAACUGAGACCAGAAUUGAAUGACAUUUGGUAUUAUCUCCAGACAACUAUCUGAUAUUUGAGGUUUUUGCAAAGCGGAUAGAGAAACUCCUUAGAACUCUUAUCCAACUGCACUGAAUGCUUCUGCGAAAAGUUGUUGAAUGUAUAGUGAUAAUUGUUGACAUUUUAGAUUAGGGAAAUUAAUGUAAAAUUCCUGUAUAAAUUUCUCCCUUUUCCUCCCUCCCUUUCCCCCUGUUCUUGAUUGAACAGUAUAACUAUUUAUAUUAACAGUUUUCCUAGUAUUCACAUUUGAUUAAUCUGGUUGAUACAGAUAUUGGAAUAUUAGCAAUUUUUAUGUAAUUUAACAUAAUUGUAGAGGUUAUCAUUUUUUGUAUUGUUUCCAUAAAUUCCCAGUGAAAUUA
Molecule: long non-coding RNA, 826 nt
Organism: Hemicordylus capensis (graceful crag lizard)
Lineage: Eukaryota; Metazoa; Chordata; Lepidosauria; Squamata; Cordylidae
Exons: 3
Source: RefSeq, a predicted model, not a curated record